CCUACGGGUGGCUGCAGUGGGGAAUAUUGGACAAUGGGCGAAAGCCUGAUCCAGCCAUGCCGCGUGUGUGAAGAAGGCCUUCGGGUUGUAAAGCACUUUCAGUGGGGAAGAAAGCCUUGGGGCUAAUACCCUCGAGGAAGGACAUCACCCACAGAAGAAGCACCGGCUAACUCCGUGCCAGCAGCCGCGGUAAUACGGAGGGUGCGAGCGUUAAUCGGAAUUACUGGGCAUAAAGCGCGCGUAGGCGGUCUGAUAAGCCGGUUGUGAAAGCCCCGGGCUCAACCUGGGAACGGCAUCCGGAACUGUCAGGCUAGAGUGCAGGAGAGGAAGGUAGAAUUCCCGGUGUAGCGGUGAAAUGCGUAGAGAUCGGGAGGAAUACCAGUGGCGAAGGCGGCCUUCUGGACUGACACUGACGCUGAGGUGCGAAAGCGUGGGUAGCAAACAGGAUUAGAUACCCGAGUAGUC
RNAcentral lists this ribosomal RNA (465 nucleotides) under Vreelandella stevensii. RNAcentral's name for it is "partial 16S ribosomal RNA". It matches the Rfam family "Bacterial small subunit ribosomal RNA", at positions 338 to 795 of the family's 1533-position model. Lineage: Bacteria; Pseudomonadati; Pseudomonadota; Gammaproteobacteria; Oceanospirillales; Halomonadaceae. The record is from RNAcentral.